ACAGAGGUCGUGGGUUGCCCUGCUGACCCGAGGGUCAGGGAGUAGGCCAGCAUCGGGAGGGGAAGCCGGAGCCAGAGCCGGUGACAACAGUGAGCUUUAAAGGAGAUCAUGUUUAUGCUUUUACAAGAGUCUUCUGGUUGCUGGGCAGAUAACAGACUGGGGUUGAGAGGUGCGGGGCAGCCAUCAGAAUGGACUUGAUUGGCGUGGGCUCCGCUGAAGGCAGGAAUUAUUCUUGACUCCCUGGUUUCACUUUCUGUUCUCACAGUGUUGUAGUUAUUCUCCUGGGGAAACCGUAACUAUGUGCUGUGCUUGUUACUUGCAGGCCAGAGCAGUUACUGAAACGAUCAGCUAAGUGAGAGCAAAUAGAGCUGAAGGCUUUUCAGGCUUCUGUUUUCUCCACGUUGAGGAACAGUUGUAAAUAUAAGACACAAAAA
RNAcentral lists this long non-coding RNA (434 nucleotides) under Bos taurus (domestic cattle). RNAcentral's name for it is "long non-coding RNA NONBTAT016483". Lineage: Eukaryota; Metazoa; Chordata; Mammalia; Artiodactyla; Bovidae. The record is from RNAcentral.